GCUCGAGUGGCGAACGGGUGAGUAACACGUGAGUAACCUGCCCUUGACUUUGGGAUAACUUCAGGAAACUGGGGCUAAUACCGGAUAGGAGCUCCUGCUGCAUGGUGGGGUUUGGAAAGUUUCGGCGGUUGGGGAUGGACUCGCGGCUUAUCAGCUUGUUGGUGGGGUAGUGGCUUACCAAGACUUUGACGGGUAGCCGGCCUGAGAGGGUGACCGGCCACAUUGGGACUGAGAUACGGCCCAG
Molecule: ribosomal RNA, 244 nt
Filed under: uncultured Actinomycetales bacterium
Lineage: Bacteria; Bacillati; Actinomycetota; Actinomycetes; Actinomycetales
Description: partial 16S ribosomal RNA
Rfam family: Bacterial small subunit ribosomal RNA
Source: RNAcentral